UCAAAAACAUCGCCUCUUGUACCCUACAAAUAAGAGGUCCUGCCUGCCCUGUGACACAUAGUUUAACGGCCGCGGUAUUUUAACCGUGCGAAGGUAGCGUAAUCACUUGUCUUUUAAAUGAGGACCAGUAUGAAUGGCAAAACGAGGGCUUAACUGUCUCCCCCCUCCAGUCAAUGAAAUUGAUCUCCCCGUGAAGAAGCGGGGAUACACCCAUAAGACGAGAAGACCCUAUGGAGCUUUAGACACUAAGGCAGCUUACGUUAAAAAUCCUGCACCAAGGCCCUAAACUAAAUAAUUCCUGACCUGACGUCUUCGGUUGGGGCGACCGCGGGGGAAAGAAAAACCCCCACGUGGACUGGGAGUACCUCUCCUAUCACCCCGAGCUACCGCUCUAAUGUAUCAGAACCCUUCUGACCAUAAAUGAUCCGGCGCAAGCCGAUUAACGAAACAAGUUACCCUAGGGAUAACAGCGCAAUCCCCUUUUAGAGACCCUAUCGACAAGGGAGUUUACGACCUCGAUGUUGGAUCAGGACAUCCUAAUGGUGCACCCGCUAUUAAGGGUUCGUUUGUUCAACGAUUAAAGUC
This 585-nucleotide ribosomal RNA is filed under the name Lophiomus setigerus (blackmouth angler). Its description in RNAcentral is "partial 16S large subunit ribosomal RNA". It matches the Rfam family "Bacterial large subunit ribosomal RNA", at positions 1807 to 2595 of the family's 2925-position model. Lineage: Eukaryota; Metazoa; Chordata; Actinopteri; Lophiiformes; Lophiidae. The record is from RNAcentral.